GGAAAAUUAGAUUGAAUACCACUUUUCAGAGAAAGUUUAGGCCCAGUACCACAUUUGGGAAAAGCUUUUGAAAUGUACCACAUUUCAAUGCCACAUGCUUAAAGCCGGACGAAAUUGCCCUUAAUGGAGAGAGAAGUGCGUGUCAUAGAAAGGGACAACUUGGGACAGGAGGGAACAGUCUGCAUUUAAUGCUGCACGUUUACAAAAUUUCUGCCGUCCUUUUUGUCUCUCUCCGGGCGCAUUGGUAACCGUUUUCGUCCCUCUGUCUGGUAAAACGAAAUUGUCCCCGAGUAAAUCCAGAUCUUCGUCUUCGGCUCUCUGGCAGAAUAAAAUAAAGAUCAAGUUGUCUCCGAGUUAAUCCAGAUAUCUGGCUGGUAAAACCACACCAUUUGGCGAUGGAUAAUUAAGAGAUGUUGUCCCCGAGUAAAUCCAGAUCUCUGCAGGCUGGUAAAACCAUAUCAUCUGGGAUUCAUGAUAAUAGAGCAAGCUGAUGAAAUCGGAGACAAGAUCUAGACGCAACAGAGAAUUUUCAACCGGGGACAAGAUCUAGAGACAAAACGAAAGCGUUUAUUAUGAGACAAGAUCUGAAGAAGAAAGAGAAAGGGAAAGUGAGAGAGAGA
RNAcentral lists this long non-coding RNA (620 nucleotides) under Arabidopsis lyrata. Its description in RNAcentral is "long non-coding RNA (ALYR_LNC003143)". The record is from RNAcentral. Lineage: Eukaryota; Viridiplantae; Streptophyta; Magnoliopsida; Brassicales; Brassicaceae.